RNAcentral lists this long non-coding RNA (203 nucleotides) under Ricinus communis (castor bean). RNAcentral's name for it is "long non-coding RNA (RCOM_LNC001133)". Lineage: Eukaryota; Viridiplantae; Streptophyta; Magnoliopsida; Malpighiales; Euphorbiaceae. The record is from RNAcentral.
CAGCAUUCACAAAAUAAUAAUAAUAAUAAUAAUAAUCUUAUAGCCCAUAUAGUUUAUAGAUUAUUACAAACCCUAAUAGUAGAGGUGUCCAGCAAUUAUUGAAGCCUUUUGCAGGACUUUCUUCUUUUAACUAUUUCUUAACAUACAUUGCAUAUUCAAAAAAGCAAAAGAACAAAGCAAUUCAAACACAAACAUAAUAUUAC